This is a long non-coding RNA of Cucumis melo (muskmelon), 756 nucleotides long. RefSeq lists it as uncharacterized. The record is from RefSeq and is a predicted model, not a curated record. The transcript is spliced from 3 exons. NCBI's taxonomy places the organism in Eukaryota, Viridiplantae, Streptophyta, Magnoliopsida, Cucurbitales, Cucurbitaceae.
UACAUUUUUUAAAUUUUAAGAAUUAUUCAUUUCUAAAUAUUUUUCUUUUUUCCCUUUCUCUACAACUCUUUUCCUCUUUUUUCCUGAAAUUUCUUUUCCUCUCUUUCGAUACCGAUGAUUUUUUUUUUCCUUUCUUCUUCUCCUUCCCCACAAAAUUCCAAAAUGUGCCCCACCAGUGAUGCCACCUCGUUCGCAAGUUCGUGACUCCGCCCCAAGUUUUACCGCUUGUGACUCUACACCUGCUGAACGUAGCGAGAUCUGCAACCUUCGACGCCACCUCAAGCUCCACCGCACGAGGUCUGCCGCCCACGUGACGCCGCAAGCUCCGCCGACGACUCCAGAUCUGCUGCCAAAUCGGUAUAACUCGGGGAAUCGAAAAGAUCCAUAAAUAAUUGUUUUGAAGGGCAAUGGUUCAUAAAGGAAGGAAAUUUUAUGUUAACACAAAGAAAAUAAAGGGUGGAUUUCUUAUCUUUUGGAAAAUAUAUCAUGAUUUUAAUUUGUUUCAAGAUAAAAUUUUCAUCCAUUUAGCCAUGCUAUGCCCAUCUUGACAUUGAGAAAAUUAAUACGCUUGAACUACUCCCUUAUUAACAUUGAUGAUUUGAUGGUUUAAUUUGUUAGCUUCGAGAAGCUACAAUGUUUUGUUCUAUUGUAUUUUCUUUAGUUUAAGGAUAUGAGAUUGAUAUCUGGAAAGUAAGUGAAGCAAUUAAAGAGUUAAUACACAUUAAAUAAAGUUUGUAGUAUUUUCAUGGUUCUAAA